AUGCCUCGUCUAGCCACACUGCUUCUUGUUUUCACUGCGAUUCAUUUCCUCAGCCUUUUUCCGUCCAUGCAGUCCAACACUGAUAGGGAUGCACUUCUCUGCCUCAAAUCACAACUAUCUGAUCCCUUAGGAACUUUAGCUUCAUGGAGUAAUUCCUCGCUCACGUUCUGCGCUUGGCAUGGAGUGACAUGCAGCAGACGACACGCAUCUCGUGUGAGUUCAUUAGACCUAGAAUCAUCAAACCUCACUGGCCAAAUAUUCCCUUGCAUUAGAGAGCUCAGUUUCCUCACCCGAAUCCACAUGCCCAAAAACCAACUCAAUGGUCAUAUCUCCCCCGACAUCAGUCGAUUGAACCUUCUUACAUACCUCAACCUUAGCAUGAAUUCCUUCAGCGGUAUGAUUCCAGACACCAUAACUUCAGGUUCUCGGAUCGAGGUUAUCAGCAUGGAGAGAAACUCUCUUGAAGGUGAGAUCGCUGAAAAUCUUGCUCAAUGCUCAUUUCUUCAGCAAGUCGUUCUUAGCAACAACAAUCUUCAAGGGACCAUCCCUUCCAGGUUCGGUUUGCUUCCCAACCUUUCUGUGCUAUGGCUCAGUAGCAACAAGCUCACUGGAAACAUCCCUCGGUUACUGGGGAGCAACGGUUUUCUUGCAUCGGUAAAUCUAAAAAACAAUAGCCUUAGUGGAGGAAUUACCCCUUCCUUAUUCAAUAGCACCUCCAUUUCCUAUGUAGAUCUGUCACGCAAUGAACUUUCUGGGUCAAUCCCGUCUUUCCCUCAAACCUCACCACUUCAGUACCUUGCUCUAACUGAAAAUUUCCUAUCAGGGGGCAUUCCUUCCUCAAUUGGAAACUUGUCUUCCCUGUAUUCUCUUCAACUCUCUCAAAACAACUUCCAUGGAAGCAUACCAGAGAGCAUAAGUCAACUUUCAAGUUUGCAAGUACUAAACUUGAAAGAUAACAAUUUGUCAGGAGUUGUCCCAGCAGCAAUUUACACAAACACCUCCCUUACUUAUCUUAGCCUUAGUCUCAACCAGCUCAUCGGGAAAAUUCCAACUGACAUCGGAUACACUCUUCCAAACAUCACAGACUUGAUACUAGGAGGGAACCAAUUCGAUGGCCUAAUUCCUGCUUCACUAGGAAAUGCAUCAAACCUACAAAAUCUAGACCUUCGUCAAAAUUUACUCACCGGUGUUAUUCCUUCACUGGGACACUUGAGCAAGUUGACAAACAUAGACUUGGGUACAAACAUGCUUCGAUCAGGAGAUUGGUCUUUCUUGUCUUCUCUAACGAAUUGUACUCAACUACAGAUGUUAUGUUUGGACUUUAAUGGACUUGGGGGGGCACUUCCUAGCUCUAUUUCUGACCUUUCAAAAAACUUAGAGGUGCUUCUCCUAUCAGAAAACAACCUGACUGGUAAUAUACCUUCAGAGGUAGGAAAACUCACAGGCCUAACUGUCCUUGUAAUACAGACUAAUUCACUCUCGGGGCAUAUCCCUGAUACACUUGGAUGUCUUCAAAACUUGUCUCUCCUAAUCUUAAGCCAAAACAAACUGUCCGGAGAAAUCUCACAUUCAAUUGGGAGACUAGAGAAGCUCAAUGGACUUUAUCUCAUGGAAAACAAUUUGACCGGCCAAAUACCUGCUAGUUUGGAAGGUUGUAAAAAUUUGUUGUCACUGAACCUCUCUUUUAAUAGCUUGUACGGAAGCAUUCCCAAGGAAAUCGUUUCCAUUUCCACACUUUCUAAAGGCUUCGAUCUUUCCUAUAACCAACUCACGGGGAACAUACCGUCACAAAUAGGUAAUCUGAUGAAUCUGAAUUCGCUUAGUAUUUCCAAUAACCAAAUAUCAGGUGAGAUUCCUUCCGCACUUGGUGAAUGCCUUGUUUUGGAAUAUCUCCAUUUGGAGGCGAAUCUUUUGCAAGGAAAAAUCCCAAGUUCACUCAGCACCUUAAGAGGCAUCAAUGAGAUGGAUCUAUCCCGAAACAACUUGUCUAGUACAAUUCCAGAUUUUCUGGAGUCAUUUAGCUCCUUGUAUAUUCUCAACUUGUCUUUCGACGACCUUGAGGGAGUAGUCCCAAGAGGUGGCAUUUUCGCAAACUCAAGUGCAGUAUUCAUCCAAGGAAACAAAAAAUUGUGUGCAAGUUUUCCAAUGCAACAAGUGCCACUUUGCAUGGCAUUGUCUUCCAAAAGCAAGAAGAAGUCAUAUAUUGUAACUAUAGUGGUUCCAGUUUCCACGGCAAUUCUACUCUCCACAUUAUGUUUUGCAUUGAUUAUGCUAAAGAAGAAGCACACAGAAGCUGAGCAAUCCAUCAUGCAAUCAUUCAAGGGCCAUGAGAGAUUAUCAUAUGAUGAUUUAUUUAAAGCAACAAAUGGUUUCUCUCCUGCCAAUAUUAUUGGUUCGGGAAACUUUGGAUUGGUAUACAAAGGCCAUUUCAGAUUUGAAACAGUUGCCAUUAAGGUAUUUAGGCUUGACCAAUCUGGUGCAUCGAAGAGCUUCUUCGCUGAAUGUGAGGCAUUGAGGAACAUUCGCCAUCGGAAUCUCAUAAGGGUGAUCAAUCUAUGCUUAACCACUGAUCCAAGUGGGAAUGAAUUCAAAGCACUUAUUCUUGAGUAUAAGGAACAUGGUAACCUUGAAAAAUGGCUCCAACAACCACUACUAAGCUUAGGCUCCAAGAUAGCAAUAGCUAUGGAUAUAGCUGCAGCACUAGACUAUCUCCAUAAUCGAUGCAAUCCUCCUUUGGUACAUUGUGAUUUGAAACCAAGCAAUGUUCUUUUGGAUGAUGAAAUGGUUGCAUGUCUUAGUGACUUCGGGCUUGGAAAAUUCCUUCACGACGAAUCCUCACCAGAAAAUAAUAUGUCAUCAAGCAUUGUUGGACCAAGAGGCUCAGUCGGAUACAUUGCACCUGAGUAUGGAACAGGAUGCAAAAUCUCAAUCGAGGGUGAUGUGUACAGCUACGGAAUUAUUCUACUACAGAUGAUCACAGGAAAGCGUCCAACAGAUGAUAUGUUCAAGGAUGGUAUCAACCUUCACAACUUCGUUGAUGCAGAAUUUUCACAUGGAAUUGGAGAUAUUUUAGAACCAACUCUUACCACAUAUGACGAAGGAGAAGGAAGUUUUAUCUCACUGGUCUAA
This 3129-nucleotide ribosomal RNA is filed under the name Triticum aestivum (bread wheat). RNAcentral's name for it is "partial small subunit ribosomal RNA". Lineage: Eukaryota; Viridiplantae; Streptophyta; Magnoliopsida; Poales; Poaceae. The record is from RNAcentral.